AGUGAACGCUGGCGGUAGGCCUAACACAUGCAAGUCGGACGGCAGCACAGUAAGAGCUUGCUCUUACGGGUGGCGAGUGGCGGACGGGUGAGGAAUACAUCGGAAUCUACUUUUUCGUGGGGGAUAACGUAGGGAAACUUACGCUAAUACCGCAUACGACCUACGGGUGAAAGCAGGGGGUCUUCGGACCUUGCGCGAUUGAAUGAGCCGAUGUCGGAUUAGCUAGUUGGCGGGGUAAAGGCCCACCAAGGCGACGAUCCGUAGCUGGUCUGAGAGGAUGAUCAGCCACACUGGAACUGAGACACGGUCCAGACUCCUACGGGAGGCAGCAGUGGGGAAUAUUGGACAAUGGGCGCAAGCCUGAUCCAGCCAUACCGCGUGGGUGAAGAAGGCCUUCGGGUUGUAAAGCCCUUUUGUUGGGAAAGAAAAGCAGCAGGUUAAUACCCCGCUGUUCUGACGGUACCCAAAGAAUAAGCACCGGCUAACUUCGUG
RNAcentral lists this ribosomal RNA (492 nucleotides) under uncultured bacterium. RNAcentral describes it as "partial 16S ribosomal RNA". It matches the Rfam family "Bacterial small subunit ribosomal RNA", at positions 29 to 507 of the family's 1533-position model. The record is from RNAcentral.